CAUGAAAGGUGUACGCGUGGAGGAAUGGGCGGUGCUAGAAAAGAGAGGGCUGAGAGUUAUACAAAUCCAUUCGAUUCCAGAUUGAUAACAUAAACAUAGUAAGCUGGUUAGAUAUUAGUCAGUUUUAUUUGUUGUAUUACAGUUCCUGACAAAGUUCAACCUGUCGCUCCAUUAAUCCCGCACAAAGCUCUACAGUCUGAUUGAUUCGUCAGUCUGGUGUCUCCAUAAGCUUCCCAUGACUCUGAAAGUGUUUAAGUGCCUUGUAGAGUGUUCGACAUAUACCCGAUACGCAAAUUAUUUUUUUAAAUAUUUUCUUCUUUCUGCUCGUGGUUUAGCUCUAAGUUGAUGGCUCCUGUAGUGAAUAAAGAGGGGCGAUCGACAUGGAUAAUGUUUUUCCCGCUAAGAUGACAAAAUUCUGGGGGAAAUCAAACUCCAAACCUGGUCCAAUUAAAGGCAAUAGAUUAUACUGUUGGGCAUCAUUUGGGUGUCCUAUAUAUGAAACCACUUCGAAUAAAUCUUAUAUGAUUUCUG
RNAcentral lists this long non-coding RNA (531 nucleotides) under Mytilus galloprovincialis (Mediterranean mussel). Lineage: Eukaryota; Metazoa; Mollusca; Bivalvia; Mytilida; Mytilidae. The record is from RNAcentral.